Molecule: Y RNA, 106 nt
Filed under: Cebus imitator (Panamanian white-faced capuchin)
Lineage: Eukaryota; Metazoa; Chordata; Mammalia; Primates; Cebidae
Description: Y RNA (ENSCCAG00000006546.1)
Rfam family: Y RNA
About the family: Y RNAs are components of the Ro ribonucleoprotein particle (Ro RNP), in association with Ro60 and La proteins.
Source: RNAcentral
AGCUGGUCCAAAGGUGGUGCAUUAUCUUGACUGGAGAUUCACAGAGCAGGUCAAACUCCUUGUUCCACUCUUUCCCCUUCUCAUGACUGCACUUGACAAGUCUUAA